Molecule: long non-coding RNA, 2464 nt
Filed under: Arachis ipaensis
Lineage: Eukaryota; Viridiplantae; Streptophyta; Magnoliopsida; Fabales; Fabaceae
Description: long non-coding RNA (AIPA_LNC002549)
Source: RNAcentral
CGGGUUUCAUCACAACAGGUUUAUAUAUAUAUAUGUUUGACAAUGUUUUUGAACAAAAUAUGAAAUGCUACACAGCCAAAAUCCUAAUUAAUAUUCAUAAUAUUAGACAAUAUUUUACAUCAAUUGAUAACUCUAACUCAAAAGAUACAUCAUUAUAUCAGGGGUCAACUCAUAGAAAACAAUCUUCUGGCAAGACUUAUGGAAGUUCUACAUCCUCAGAUACCUUUGAAUGUCUAUUUCAAUUCGCAAAUUACGUUUACAGAUUAUCCUAAAGUCUAGAAGAUCUUUUGGUUUCAGCGCAUGAGCCUUGCAAAAAUUAUGUCAUCCCAAUCCAAAUUUGAUAUCAAAAGGAUUAGUAGGGCUUUGAUGGGCUUGGAAUAGGAAGGUGUUCCCCCAUGGCAAAGGGGACCUAUUAUAGUCCAAAUGGCGCCAUCUUCGAAGGUCUUCAAUAUUUCUGCGAAGUCCAUUGACAUAUACUGCAGGCGUCAUUCCAAAACAAAAUUAUAAGUCUAAUUGCCAACAAGUUAAAUUAAGUGAACCAUACAGGAUAGACUGAUAUUAGUGUUGUGCAAUUUUGCCAAUCUGUUGGCUCUCAUAUCACUUGGCUGAAGUUCUUUGGAGUAAGUGUGGAAAAUCAUGUCUCUAAAAUAGAACACCAAAUUUAAACACAAUGUAAUUGUCAGAUAAUUGAUUUUUAGUAUUGUGUUUGUUGAAAGGAAUAACAUGUGCCAACCUGUUCAAGUAAAAGGUAUCAAAUACGGAAUAAGAAUCAUGUUACCUCAUGUGAUUAUUCAUUUCCACAAGAUCAGCUGUGUUAGGGCUUACUACUUCUUCAACAUCUGUUGACUGAUUAGAAUCAUCGCUAAUUGUGGUCACUUCAGGUUGUUCAUCCUCUUGUGAAUACUUCAUAUUAAAAUUCACUUCAUUUUUAUCAAGUGUGUGAGAGGUCAGUUGGUCUCUCACAUAGAAAUUUAGGUUUGGUGUCAAGGCUAACUCAAAGGUUAUCAUAUCCCACAGGAAAAGAUAAAAGAGACAAAAGCCUACAUACCAAAGCUUAACUGUUACAUCUCUUUCUGAAUGAUAAAAGGCUCUAAUACUCUUAAUGUGUCUUCUUCUAUAACUCUAUUCAUAUGAUUACUGGCUAAUUGUAACUUCCGGCAGUUGUCACAGUGAUCAAUUGCGAAACAUAUAUUAACAAAUUCGUUGCCCUAUGUUUCUAAGAAGUGUUUGGGAAAAUGCCUCUCACCCUAACAUUAUAUGAACAUAUUUUACUCGCGAUGAAAACUCAAAAUUUAAGUCUAUUUAAUAUAAAAUUACGAAAAAAUGUACUUACCUUUCCUUUCACGAGACAAAACUUAAUCAUUCUGCCAUUAUUUGAAGGCCAACUAUUCAUUGUUGCUAUAAAUCUUCUGUGUUAUCAAAAAGGUAAACAAUAUUAGAUUGUACUGUUUUGAUUUAGUAAGUACCCUUUUUUACAAAAGGUAAUCCAAUUGUCAAGAAGAUGCACAAAUUGAGUUUUGAAACAAAUUCUCUUCGUGGUAAGUAGGGCUGACAAUGGGUAGGGUAGGGUAGGGUUUGGACCUACCCUAACCCUACCCGCGGGUUGAAAAUUAUUAAAACUCUACCCUACCCUACUCGCGGGUUGAAAAUCUCUCAACCCUAACCCUACCCGCACCUUAAAGUUCUAAACCCUACCCUACCCGCAGAAAUAUCAAAUUUUUUCAAAGUAAAUAUAAAAUUCAAUCAUUUCAAAUUUUAUACAUAUUAAUAAUAUAAAAAAAUAAAAAAUUAAUGCUCUAAAUUACUAAAUUAACUAAUUAGUUUAGUGGUUGUUCACUUAUUGUAAGUUAUUACAUAAGGAAAGUUGUGGGUUCAACUCUCACUUCCUUCACUAUAUAUCUAAUUUUUAUAAAAUAUGUGUUAUAUAUGAGGUGCGGGUAGGGUAGGGUACACCCUAAACCCGUACCCUACCCUACCCGCAGGCAUACCCGGACCGUACCCUAUUCUACCCGCAGCGGGUCGGGUAGCCUACCUUACCCGAACAGGUUGGACCGGGUUGGAUACUCGCGGGUAGGGUAUGAAUUGCCAGCCCUAGUGGUAAGGGUAACGUGCUUUUCGAUUUAUACCCAUAGAACAAAUAUUCAAACAUAAUAAAGAAAUUUAAAUACAAGUAACCUACUUUGCAGUAUAAACCUCUGAAAAAAUACAACACAUUGAAACCAUGGGCCGUGAAAAUACUCUUGAAAUCUUAGUUCAACUCUGAUUGACAGAUUCAUAGUUGAAUCUAGACGAACGAUUUUCACCUAGGAGAUUCAACAACGAAACUAUGGAUGGGUAGAAUAUACGAUCUCUGUCAAGUUGAAUAUAUCACACAUCGAUUUUUAAGGAACACACAUGCAUGUGUCGAAUAGCAUACAACAAAGAAUAUAGAAUGAUGAUAGUAAUUUGAUUGAAGUUUUUGUAC